CAAAACACAUACUGUAAAGUGCUGAUGACGGUCUGGUCAAGAGAUUGAAUUCACUUUGUUCACACAAAAAAAACUAACAACAACAAAGGCGUUUCCAUGUGUGACUGUGCUGCCAUCUAGCAGAUGUGUGACGGCUGAGCUUUGCCAGGGGAAAGACUGUAUUUUAUACAUUAGAACCAACCUAAGACCCAGGCUGGUCUCCUAGCAACCCCACAGAAGUCGGCCUGCCCAGGGGGGAUGGGUAGGCCACAUCACAGGCCUUCUCCAGGCCCAGACAACGAGCGGAGGCCUUCUCCUUAACCAAGAACAUCCUGACACUCUCCCAGUCCGAGCACCUAGCCAUGUCUCCGAACACCGUGCGCGAAGCAAGAUCAGCUUUUCAUAUCUUUACAGGUUUACUGCAGUGCUCGUGUCCUCACGAAAUGGCAUCAGAGCAGAUCCAACUGUAGAUGAACAAGAGGAAAGUGAACAACAUUAUAUACCAGCGAAAC
Molecule: long non-coding RNA, 491 nt
Filed under: Lepisosteus oculatus (spotted gar)
Lineage: Eukaryota; Metazoa; Chordata; Actinopteri; Semionotiformes; Lepisosteidae
Description: lncRNA (ENSLOCG00000022392.1)
Source: RNAcentral